CACAUCCUUGUUCCCAGAGAAUCCUUCAAUGGCACAAACCCUUGAAAACACGACUGACAUGUAAAAGAAUGGCGGAGUUUCCCGAAGGACCGUGUUUGUACCGUGGAGAGCCAAACGAUACCCGGUUUACCGAUUUCUCGGGCACGCGCGAGUACUCCAGUAAGUUGCUCUCUUUGUUGUUAUUUAGUUGUAUGUAGAGGGCGGGACUCGAACUGAAAUGAACAAGGCGCGGCCAAGAACCCCCUUCCUUCACACGUGUAGACAAAGGGACCCAUCAACACAACCCAAACAUGCAGGGAAAAGUUUUCCCGUGCGCGCGACUUCACGCCAGGACCUCGCGAAGCGCCCAGGCCAGCGCGGGACUGCGAGUACUGGAUAACUUCUGUUUCAACGCACGCCCUUUGAAGGAUUUAUUUAAUCAUUAUUUUUCGCUGUGGAAUAUUAUUACUUUUCUUCGGGAUUAUUGGACUAUUCAUAAUGAGAAUGAUUACUUUCAACGUACAACAUGGACAAACAAAAGUCUGUGUGGAAGCAAAUGGAGAAAAUCACUCUGGUGUGACUGGUGGAUCAGCAUCAUCAGCAUCAUCAUGGUCAGUGUCCUCAAACAGCGUAAGAGCGUAAUGGAAGUCAAACACAGAGUCUCUCGUACACAUUGUGGGCCUGUUAUUGCAUGAUCAGCCCAUGCUUUACAUGUCAAAUGUUUCCCAGGCCUUCCUGUGAGGGAGUAUCAGUGCUUUGAUCUGCAUUCACAUGAAUCUGCAUCACGGUUAUUGAUAUAAAGAGCGUGCAAUCAGCCAAACCACAGACGGCAGACUCACACUGCUCUCUCGUCUCGUCUGAGGAAGCUCUGUGGCCCGGUUCAAGCGUGUGAGAAUGCUGGAGAAUCUCGUGAUGCUGUGAACACAGAUUACAGGACGCUGAUGAGGCAGAUUGAGCCCAGUCUGUAAUUAAGUCAAUCACAAACUGCGCUCAUAUUUCAUUAGCCCUGAGGUAAUGGUCCUCGUCUGAGGACAGAAUUCAUUUUUCUGUCAGAUCUGCUGUCUCAGUCAUAAAUGGACCUUGAAAUGGGAUGGAAUGAACGAUGUGCCAUGAAGCACAACUGAUCCCAGUCAGUCUCAUUUUAAAGGCUGUUUAUUAUUAGCUUUAUAGUUUUUUUCAACUGCUUACACACAUUUUCAAAACUUUUUUACACACAAAUCCAAGAAUUGCACACACAAAAUGCAAAAUGCCUCACAUCUCAACAAAAUGAAGCACUGCGUUCAAAAUAUCACAAACACAUCUGAAAAACAAACAUUUGCAAACACCUUUGCCAUAAUAUGAAUCCCUGUUAGAUUUGUGUGUUACAUAGAGAACUGUGUGUUGUGUUUUGCAAAAAGUGUUUUAAUAAAACUGAGUCAAAAGCAGGGAAUUAGUGUAUG
Long non-coding RNA from Cyprinus carpio (common carp), 1418 nucleotides. The record is from Ensembl. Lineage: Eukaryota; Metazoa; Chordata; Actinopteri; Cypriniformes; Cyprinidae.